UUUCCCCUAUAAUUGCACUGAAUUCAAAACAUUACCGCUCUAACCAAGCUUCCACCUUUCUCUGGUACUACAAAACUUCAACAGGAACCAUCCAAAAAGAUAUUAUUGAUAUCGGUUCUGCUUUAGACAUCACUCCAAAGUGAACUCCACUUCUCCAAGGCAUAAAAUCUCAUACUUGUUGCAAAACGCCAACUAAAACCCUUACACCAUAAAGACCUAUCUUCUCUUCUCCACUUAUCCUUGCUAAAAUCUUCUGACUUCUAUAACCCUUCAUCUUCUCAUUUAUAACUUGAUCCAUUCCUAAUGCUUAACCUUUGAUUCUCCUUCUCAAACACAACACAUCUCUUGAAGGCCAUAACCACCCGAAAUAAUUUGAAAACAAAUAAACCUCUCUUGUAAUCACACCUCAGACUUAGGAAAGAUGACAUCAUAUCUUCUUCAUUUAAGUUUAUCAAACACCACUUUUCUUCUUCCAAUCUCGUACAUCCUUGAUAUACCGAACCAUAUUGCCAACCGUAUCCAAAGAUACUCCAUGGCUCAUCAACAUUUUCCUUUCUUCUGGCCUUCCACACUAAUGACACCUUGAACCAAGCUGAUUUCUCAAACCUGUUACCCAAUACUUACCCAAAGUUUCUCUUAUUCUAGCCUCUUGAACUCCACUCUUCUUGUGGAACAUACAAUAUCUGAGCUCCUGACUUUGCCCUUGAAAACUUCUUCACCCAAACAUUUCUUCUAAACUCCAAUAUGUCUUCACCCAUCCUUUGAAACGUAAAUUCUGGUCUUCUAACUCUUUGUCUUCGAGGCAAGAAUUUGUCUCAAAGGCUUAAACCAAUUACUAAAGAAGGUAUACAGGUCAAGUUGUUAUUGAAUUUGUAUUCCCUUACCACUAUAGAGCACAGUACAUUACCACAGAGGCAAGAACAAGACAGAAAAUACUAUUGAUAGUAACACUGGAAU
This 957-nucleotide long non-coding RNA is filed under the name Vigna radiata. RNAcentral describes it as "long non-coding RNA (VRAD_LNC017749)". Lineage: Eukaryota; Viridiplantae; Streptophyta; Magnoliopsida; Fabales; Fabaceae. The record is from RNAcentral.